RNAcentral lists this long non-coding RNA (1397 nucleotides) under Hordeum vulgare. RNAcentral describes it as "long non-coding RNA (HVUL_LNC014827)". Lineage: Eukaryota; Viridiplantae; Streptophyta; Magnoliopsida; Poales; Poaceae. The record is from RNAcentral.
UUUUUUCCUUUGCACGCAACCUCCAGGGCCUCCGCCGCGUCUCUUUGCCGCCUCCGCCGCUUCUCCCGCGCCUUAUCCUCCCAGUUCCUCUCUCCUAGCUAAUCUCCAACCCUACACCAUCCUCUCCUCCUUGACCGCCUUUCUCCUCCAUUGGAAAAGGAGCACGGGCUCGUCUCUGCGUAGCCGCUACAAGGACGUCGGGUGGAGGGAUCAGUGGUCGGUGGUAAGAGUAGGAGCACACGGGGGCGGACGGCCUCCCUGCGCGACGGUGGAUACUUCACCGACGGCCAGCCAAUACGUCGGACAGAAGAAGAAGAUGGCGUGGGCGAUGAUAUGGUGCGGUGGAAGAAUACGGCGUGGGCGAUUCCGGUGAGAUAUGCCUCCAGCGACGCAAUAAUGUGAAGAUCCUCUCCACAAGCCAUACUCUUGCGUUGCAGCGAGAGGUCGUUAGAUUCGUCGUGCUAGACGUAGCCGUCGCCCACUUGCUCCACCUAAAGUUCCUCCUCCCCACCACGGGUAGAUGCCGGUGAGGCCAGCCUUCCCUGCACGUGCAGGUACUCCCCCGCCCCCUUUCCCUAUCUCUCUUCCCUGACCCCGUCUCUCGAUUGUACACAGAGAGAGACCCGUGGUGGCAGCACAACAGUGCUUCAGUGGAUAGGUUGUGAAAGAAAGUUCAGAUUAGGGACUAUCAUUCUCAUAGAGUCAUAGUAUGCUUUGCUGAGGUAGAUUUUUCAAGUUUACCAGGUUUAGUUAGGUUUUUGUACCCUUGUUGAGAUGGCAUGACACUGAUAAAUUUAUUUUGUUGACGUAGCUACUUUGUUCCCCAAUUUUACCGAUGCAUUUUAUUCUUAUAUCUACCUGAUUUCUUAACCGAUUCAUCUGUUGGCUUAGAUAGUACUUCAAAUUAUCCGGUGAUGCACACAUUUUAUUUCAAAAGAAAAUUUGAUUGAUUGAGGAGCUGCACACUAUCUCAGUUUGUAUAUGCUUUCAACGUCGAAAAUAAUUUAGCCAUGUUUAUGUUUUUUUGCUUAGGUGAGCCUUCCCAUGAUGAUGAAUUUGCAUAAGAAUGCAGAUUUUCCUUGGGAAUCCUACUAGAUGGGUAGAGAUCUUGAUAGAUUUACUUAAUAUUCAGGAGCCCAAGAGUAAUGUACUGUCUUCUCUAAUUUGGAAAUGAAGUAUGGUGUGCGGAGUGGAUGUACUAACAUAGUAUGUGCUUUUGUGCUGAAUUACAUGGAAGGUCAAGAUGACCUCACCUACUGAAAUGUUUUUUUGGUUAUGUUUAUUAAUCUAUGGAUGCCUACUGGCCCUAAAUAUGUUUGGUCAAAAUGUUUUCCUAUGAAGUUUCUAUGCUAUAUAAGAAAGUUAGUCUGAAAUAUUUGAAGUCAUAUUCUAUUGUA